CGAGCGCGCCUGAAGCCAAAAUUUUGAAUUCGACACAGCCAGAAAAGCUAUAGGGUAGAGCCGCGAGGCCCGCGACCGCAAGUGCGAGGUCAUCAGUGCAUCACUUCCUCACCUCAGCUUAGCUUCAGGUACCACCACUCUUCCCUGUUUCAGUAACCUAGAGGAGCUCUUCAAUUUCUGAAUUUCUCCCGUUCGAUUGCUGUAAUAUAGCCGAGGAUCUGAAGAAGACGGCAGCCAUAGGUUCAAAAUUUCCAGCAUUCCCCAGGAAAAUGUUAGAAAAGGGCUUUCCAGCAACCGAACGAACUGAGACAAAGGCAUUGACGUAGGUGAAAGGCGAAUUCAAGGACGUUAGCAAUGGUGCUUAGGAGUGAGAGAGUGCGUUUCAACCAGAAUAAAGAGUACGAGACAGAAAUUACGGAGCUCAAGAUGUUGGUGGAGGAGAAAAAUACAGAAGGAAUACAGUUCAGGAGAUUCAGCGACUCCUGAUAUUCCUGAUGACAUGCUUCUCAAAGACUUGAAUCCUUGUUUGACACCUUAUUUUGCCAUGACAAAGUCUAAAGAGCUUGAGAUGAUGGGUUGUGAAUCUCCAAACGAGGAGCAGUUGUUUAGAAGCGUGGAAUGAUAACUCCUUAGUGUCUCAUCAGGAGAAACUGUCCAAGAGCUCUGAGUGUUGCCAAAGACCAAGUUUGAGGAGUGCAGCUGGAACUGUGGCGCGCAGGUUGGAUGAGAAUAAAUAUAUUAAUGGAAAGCUAAUGUAUCAAAAGCAUUUUUUUGAAUGUGAGUUGCCAUUGGCUCAAGUUGCACUCCAAAUACCAUUUCCUUCUCCCUUCUCUCUAAAUAGUUUGUUUAUUUGGUUUGUUGCAGUAAUCUGUAAUGACAUAGUAGGAAUUAAUGGGCUUUACUUAUAUCUCAUCAAAAUAAACCUGAUGGUGUAUUGUAAUCAACUAAUGUCGGGCAUUGCUCUAAUUGCAAUUGGUUGGAGACUCAGAAUUGACCAAUGAGAAAAAGUCACCAGAAAGGUUGCUUAA
This is a long non-coding RNA of Macadamia integrifolia, 1028 nucleotides long. RefSeq lists it as uncharacterized. NCBI's taxonomy places the organism in Eukaryota, Viridiplantae, Streptophyta, Magnoliopsida, Proteales, Proteaceae. The transcript has 3 exons. The record is from RefSeq and is a predicted model, not a curated record.